This 253-nucleotide ribosomal RNA is filed under the name uncultured bacterium. Its description in RNAcentral is "partial 16S ribosomal RNA". It matches the Rfam family "Bacterial small subunit ribosomal RNA", at positions 524 to 776 of the family's 1533-position model. The record is from RNAcentral.
UACGUAGGGGGCAAGCGUUGUCCGGAUUUAUUGGGCGUAAAGAGCGUGUAGGCGGCCUGGAAGGUCAGCUGUGAAAACUCGAGGCUCAACCUCGAGACGUCGGUUGAAACCACCUGGCUAGAGUCCGGAAGAGGAGAGUGGAAUUCCCGGUGUAGCGGUGAAAUGCGCAGAUAUCGGGAAGAACACCCGUGGUGAAGGCGGCUCUCUGGGACGGUACUGACGCUGAGACGCGAAAGCGUGGGGAGCAAACAGG